This 1064-nucleotide long non-coding RNA is filed under the name Salmo salar (Atlantic salmon). RNAcentral's name for it is "lncRNA (ENSSSAG00000117288.1)". Lineage: Eukaryota; Metazoa; Chordata; Actinopteri; Salmoniformes; Salmonidae. The record is from RNAcentral.
GUGAUGGCCUGAAACAUGACCAUUGCACUGAGCAAGUUCAGUUUAUACAUGAUAAGUCAAAUACAAGUCAUAUACAGCCUAUAUUAAGUAUUACCCAAUACCUCCACAGAAAAUAUAGACUACAUGUAGUUGUUCUGUUGAGGGUUUGAUAUCUUAAAAUGAUCAUUACACACUCUGUCCCGAUGUGGAAUGUCCACAUGUGGAACAGAGCAGACCAUGGAUAACUAUAGUUUUAACUGUGCUUUGUGGAAAGUAAAAAUUAUUCAGUGAAAUUGACUACUUUUCUAAGCUAUUUAAAUACAGAUCUGGAAAGUAACUACUUUUGUUUAACUAUUUGAAUACAGAUCUGAGAAAGCAACUGCUUCAAAAAGUAUAUUUGCAAGAAAAUGUAUGUGAACCUUUUGGAAUUACCUGGAUUUCUGCAUAAAUUGGUCAUACAGUUUGAGUCUAAGUCACAACAAUAGACAAACACAGUCUGCUUAAACUAAUAACACAAGCAAUUAUACGUUUUCAUGUCUUUAUUGAACAUACCGUGUAAACACUCACAGUGUAGGGUGGAAAAAGUAUGUGAACCCUUGGAUUUAAUAACUGGUUGACCCUCCGUUUUCUGUAGUUGCGGAUAAGACCUGCACAACCAUUUUAAAUCGGAUUGAGGUCAGGACUCUGACUGGGCCACUCCAGACAGCGUAUUUUCUUCUGUUGAAGCCAUUCUGUUGUUGAUUUACUUCUGUGUUUUAGAUCGUUGUUCUGUUGCAUCACCCAACUUCUGUUGAGCUUCAAUUGGCGGACAGUUAGCCUUACAUUCUCCUGCUAAAUGUCUUGAUAAACUUGGGAAUUCAUUUUCCGUCGAUGAUAGCAAGCUGUCCAGGCCCUGAGGCAGCAAAGCAGCCCCAAACCAUGACUCUCCCUCCACCAUACUUUACAGUUGGGAUGAGGUUUUGAUGUUGGUGUGCUGUGCCUAUUUUUCUCCACACAUAGUGUUGUGUGUUCCUUCCAAAUAACUCAACUUUAGUUUAAUCAGUCCACAGAAUAUUUUGCCAGGAGCGCUGUGGAACAUCCAGGUG